AGCUCUUCGGUGCAGUCACUUAUUAAGUAAGUAAGUAAGUGCUUUAUUGUCAUUGUACAAGCGUACAACGAAAUAGUGUUCAGGUGUUAGUCCUGAGCUGCUGCGGCUGAGCCGCGCUGCCACUGUGUCAACCUGACCCGCAUGACCUUGGAGGUCGGGGAAACUGUAGCACUCGGAAGAAAUCUGGCUGGCUGCCCUCUGUCUCUGUGUGAGAAAUUCCAAAGGGGUCACAUGCUUUUUCCUCCCUCUUACAGGGGAACAUGCCACACCGGAUUUUAGCCAUAGACUAAUUUGCUGUCUGUUAUGCUGCACUCACACUCACCAACACACCUAUAUGAUACGGAGACGCUGCAGUAUGUGCAGGUCAGAGCUGAGACCUUUGGCUCUGUGGUCGAAUGUUCUCUGAGUCAAUAUCGCUCAAAGUUCACUGCGUCUAGUCUCCUGUCUUGGCCAGAACUUAUAACUUUCUUCUUUUAUUAAACAAAAGCUGCACAUGCACAAACACAUACAUUUUUUAAUAUAUAAAUCAUACACAUUGUUAUGUAAUCUCCCAUGUACGUACACUGAAUAAUGCUUUUUAUUUUGCUUGUUGUCACCUCUCUGUUUAGUAUAGUGAUUGUCGCUACAAAUUCAAUCAGAGAAGUUAACUGUUCUUCAUACCACUCUGUGAGCGAGGAUGAGCUCUCUUUAAAGGAGGCCAGUGCUUCCAUUGGCCCAAUUGUGGUUGCCAUUGUUGCAACCGACAACCUUGUGCAGUACGAAUCUGGUAAGUGAUCAGGUUUGUCAAAAAAGCGAGUAAUAAAGGGUUUUCUUUCUCAUGCCAUACGCCAAAUUCACUUCAUUUUCAAAAGUUGACUUGAGCACAAACGCGCAUAAUGGAGAUACACGUCUGUCUGAACACAGCAUUUGUGUUGAAUGUUUUUACGUGUUGUUCCCUCUCAGGCUCGUUCAGCAGUCCCAAUUGUACAGAGCGCCUCAACCACGCUGUGCUGCUCGUAGGUUAUGGCACAGAUGAAACUUCCGGGCUGGACUACUGGCUGAUCAAAAACAGUUGGGGGAGAAGAUUGGGGCGAAAAGGGCUACCUCAGAUUGGCACAAGAAUCAAAUGUGUGGCAUCUCGCAGUAAGCAGUCUACCCUCAGUAAACCACUUUUUUCAAUCAAAAUCAUUUCUUUGUUAAAAGGAUGUGAUCUAGAUUUAACUAAUUGCAAACCAAGUCUUGUCAAAAGUUCUUGAAUGUCUUGUUUGUAAUUAAUAAAAGAGUCUCUGUACUUUUUGUGUGAUCAUUUUUAAAGCUACCUUAAACACACCCAGCAUCAUUUGUUCAGUCUCAG
RNAcentral lists this long non-coding RNA (1333 nucleotides) under Neogobius melanostomus (round goby). RNAcentral describes it as "lncRNA (ENSNMLG00000002085.1)". The record is from RNAcentral. Lineage: Eukaryota; Metazoa; Chordata; Actinopteri; Gobiiformes; Gobiidae.